Molecule: ribosomal RNA, 497 nt
Filed under: uncultured bacterium
Lineage: Bacteria
Description: partial 16S ribosomal RNA
Rfam family: Bacterial small subunit ribosomal RNA
Source: RNAcentral
GAUGAACGCUGGCGGCGUGCCUAAUACAUGCAAGUCGAGCGAACAGACGAGGAGCUUGCUCCUCCGACGUUAGCGGCGGACGGGUGAGUAACACGAGGAUAACCUACCUAUAAGACAGGGAAAACCUCGGGAAACCGGAGCUAAUACCGGCCAAUAUAUUUACCCGCAGGCACCAUUAGAAAAAGACGGAUUAGCGGUCACUCAUAGACGGAUAGGCGCCGCAUUGCCUAGUUGGUAAGGUAACGGCUUAUCAAGGCGAAGAUGCGUAGCCGACCUGAGAGGGUGGUCGGCCACACUGGAACUGAGACGCAGUCCAGACUCCUACGGGAGGCCGCGGUAGGGACUCUUCCGCAAUGGGCGAAUGCCUGACGGAGCAACGCCGCGUGAGUGAUGAAGGUCUUCGGAUCGUAGAACUCUGUUAUUAGUGAAGAACAAAUGUGUAAGUAACUAUGCACGUCUUGACGGUACCUAAUCAGAAAGCCACGGCUAACUACGUG